Molecule: non-coding RNA, 73 nt
Organism: Trichonephila inaurata madagascariensis
Lineage: Eukaryota; Metazoa; Arthropoda; Arachnida; Araneae; Nephilidae
Source: the annotation of a GenBank genome assembly
UGUGGCCAUGGUUAAGGCGAUGGACUAGAAAUCCAUUGGGGUUCCCCGCGUGGUUCGAACCCUACCGGCAAAU